Molecule: ribosomal RNA, 468 nt
Filed under: uncultured bacterium
Lineage: Bacteria
Description: partial 16S ribosomal RNA
Rfam family: Bacterial small subunit ribosomal RNA
Source: RNAcentral
GACGAACGCUGGCGGCGUGCUUAACACAUGCAAGUCGAACGGAAAGGCCCUGCUUUUGUGGGGUGCUCGAGUGGCGAACGGGUGAGUAACACGUGAGUAACCUGCCCUUGACUUUGGGAUAACUUCAGGAAACUGGGGCUAAUACCGGAUAGGAGCUCCUGCUGCACGGUGGGGGUUGGAAAGUUUCGGCGGUUGGGGAUGGACUCGCGGCUUAUCAGCUUGUUGGUGGGGUAGUGGCUUACCAAGGCUUUGACGGGUAGCCGGCCUGAGAGGGUGACCGGCGACAUUGGGACUGAGAUACGGCCCAGACUCCUACGGGAGGCAGCAGUGGAGAAUAUUGCACAAUGGGCGGAAGCCUGAUGCAGCAACGCCGCGUGCGGGAUGACGGCCUUCGGGUUGUAAACCGCUUUCGCCUGUGACGAAGCGUGAGUGACGGUAAUGGGUAAAGAAGCACCGGCUAACUACGUG